This 449-nucleotide ribosomal RNA is filed under the name uncultured prokaryote. RNAcentral describes it as "bacterial SSU rRNA". It matches the Rfam family "Bacterial small subunit ribosomal RNA", at positions 355 to 796 of the family's 1533-position model. The record is from RNAcentral.
UGGGGAAUAUUGCACAAUGGGGGAAACCCUGAUGCAGCCAUGCCGCGUGUGUGAAGAAGGCCUUCGGGUUGUAAAGCACUUUCAGGUGUGAGGAAAGGUAGUAAGUUAAUACCUUACUACUGUGACGUUAACACCAGAAGAAGCACCGGCUAACUCCGUGCCAGCAGCCGCGGUAAUACGGAGGGUGCGAGCGUUAAUCGGAAUUACUGGGCGUAAAGCGCACGCAGGCGGUUUGUUAAGCUAGAUGUGAAAGCCCCGGGCUCAACCUGGGAUGGUCAUUUAGAACUGGCAGACUAGAGUCUUGGAGAGGGGAGUGGAAUUCCAGGUGUAGCGGUGAAAUGCGUAGAUAUCUGGAGGAACAUCAGUGGCGAAGGCGACUCCCUGGCCAAAGACUGACGCUCAUGUGCGAAAGUGUGGGUAGCGAACAGGAUUAGAUACCCCCGUAGUCC